Molecule: ribosomal RNA, 115 nt
Filed under: Danio rerio (zebrafish)
Lineage: Eukaryota; Metazoa; Chordata; Actinopteri; Cypriniformes; Danionidae
Source: RNAcentral
GCUGGCAGCUAGCUCUCUGCAAAUCUCAAGUGGUCGCUCACUGAAGCUAAGCAGGGCUGUGCCCGGGCAGUACCUGGAUGGGAGACCACAUGGGAAAGCUAGGUUGCUGCCGGAA